Acanthosepion pharaonis is the source of this 109-nucleotide non-coding RNA. Lineage: Eukaryota; Metazoa; Mollusca; Cephalopoda; Sepiida; Sepiidae. The record is from the annotation of a GenBank genome assembly.
UUACGGCCAUGUUACAUUGAAACACUGGAUUGCAUAUGAUCACCGAAGUUAAGCAACGUCAAGCCUAGUCAGUACCUAGAAGGGUGACUACUUGGAAAUACCAUGUGCU